CUCUUCACAGAAACUAGUCACGGAAGAUCCGGUCUCCUGAAUAAUCCCUUCCCCGGGGAAAAAAAAAGUGGACGAAUAAAUCCCCACUGGCCGCCGGCGGCGGCUGCGGCGGCGCGAUUGCGAGAGGAUCGGUUGAUUCCUCGAUCGGGUGGGUUCCAGGCGGAGGCCAUCCGGGAAAGAAGACGAGCGCGGGUCCAACAAGAAAAGGAGCAUGGCGGCUUAUCCGACCAUACGAGACGAUCCCUUGGCGGAGAAAAAGAGGAAGUUGGAUGUGUGGAGCGAGGAGGAAGAGGUCUCGUCGCCCGAUCCGUCCGUGUGGGUUCACCCUGAUGACUACUUGGCGGCCAGACGCGACGAAGAAUCAGGUCCGUCUCAUCCAUUUUUAUUCCAUCAGUUCAUACUAUAUUUAUUUAUUUGUUUAUUUAUGCUCCUGCUGCCUGCCUGCCUGUAGCUCCCCGCCCUGUGAAAAUCCCCACGCUCGAUCGCUUCAAGCCCCCGACUCGGUUUCACAUUGCCGAGCUCUUCUCCGUCCGUGAAUCCGG
This 542-nucleotide long non-coding RNA is filed under the name Triticum aestivum (bread wheat). Its description in RNAcentral is "long non-coding RNA (TAES_LNC004955)". Lineage: Eukaryota; Viridiplantae; Streptophyta; Magnoliopsida; Poales; Poaceae. The record is from RNAcentral.